This 997-nucleotide ribosomal RNA is filed under the name human gut metagenome. Its description in RNAcentral is "bacterial SSU rRNA". It matches the Rfam family "Bacterial small subunit ribosomal RNA", at positions 323 to 1326 of the family's 1533-position model. The record is from RNAcentral.
GACACGGCCCAAACUCCUACGGGAGGCAGCAGUAGGGAAUUUUCGUCAAUGGGGGGAACCCUGAACGAGCAAUGCCGCGUGAGCGAAGAAGGUCUUCGGAUCGUAAAGCUCUGUUGUAAGAGAAAAACGGUCAUCAUAGGGAAUGAUGAUGAAGUGAUGGUAUCUUACCAGAAAGCCACGGCUAACUACGUGCCAGCAGCCGCGGUAAUACGUAGGUGGCGAGCGUUAUCCGGAAUCAUUGGGCGUAAAGGGUGCGUAGGUGGCACGAUAAGUCUGUAGUAAAAGGCAGCGGCUCAACCGCUGUUGGCUAUGGAAACUGUCGAGCUGGAGUGCAGAAGAGGGCGAUGGAAUUCCAUGUGUAGCGGUAAAAUGCGUAGAUAUAUGGAGGAACACCAGUGGCGAAGGCGGCCGCCUGGUCUGCAACUGACACUGAAGCACGAAAGCGUGGGGAGCAAAUAGGAUUAGAUACCCUAGUAGUCCACGCCGUAAACGAUGAGAACUAAGUGUUGGGGAAACUCAGUGCUGCAGUUAACGCAAUAAGUUCUCCGCCUGGGGAGUAUGCACGCAAGUGUGAAACUCAAAGGAAUUGACGGGGGCCCGCACAAGCGGUGGAGUAUGUGGUUUAAUUCGAAGCAACGCGAAGAACCUUACCAGGCCUUGACAUGGAGAUAAAGGCCCUGGAGACAGGGAGAUAGAUAUAACUCACACAGGUGGUGCAUGGUUGUCGUCAGCUCGUGUCGUGAGAUGUUGGGUUAAGUCCCGCAACGAGCGCAACCCUUGUUUCAUGUUACCAGUAUUAAGUUAGGGACUCAUGAGAGACUGCCGGUGACAAACCGGAGGAAGGUGGGGAUGACGUCAAAUCAUCAUGCCCCUUAUGGCCUGGGCUACACACGUACUACAAUGGCGGAUACAAAGGGCAGCGAGUCUGUGAAGAUGAGCGAAUCCCGGAAAGGCCGUCUCAGUUCGGAUUGAAGUCUGCAACUCGACUUCAUGAAGG